AUUGCCCCAGUAACGGCGAGUGAAGCGGCAACAGCUCAAAUUUGAAAUCUGGCCCCUCGGGGUCCGAGUUGUAAUUUGUAGAGGAUGCUUUUGGUGAGGUGCCGCCCGAGUUCCCUGGAACGGGACGCCACAGAGGGUGAGAGCCCCGUCUGGCUGGCCACCGAGCCUCUGUAAAGCUCCUUCGACGAGUCGAGUAGUUUGGGAAUGCUGCUCAAAAUGGGAGGUAUAUGUCUUCUAAAGCUAAAUAUUGGCCAGAGACCGAUAGCGCACAAGUAGAGUGAUCGAAAGAUGAAAAGCACCUUGAAAAGAGGGUUAAAUAGUACGUGAAAUUGUUGAAAGGGAAGCGCUUGUGACCAGACUUGGGCGCGGCGGAUCAUCCGGGGUUCUCUCCGGUGCACUUCGCCGCGUCUGGGCCAGCAUCAGUUCGUCGCGGGGGAAAAAGGCUUCGGGAACGUGGCUCCUCCGGGAGUGUUAUAGCCCGUUGCAUAAUACCCUGCGGUGGACUGAGGACCGCGCAUCUGCAAG
RNAcentral lists this ribosomal RNA (525 nucleotides) under Trichoderma rossicum. RNAcentral describes it as "eukaryotic LSU rRNA". It matches the Rfam family "Eukaryotic large subunit ribosomal RNA", at positions 74 to 607 of the family's 3401-position model. The record is from RNAcentral. Lineage: Eukaryota; Fungi; Ascomycota; Sordariomycetes; Hypocreales; Hypocreaceae.